This 1191-nucleotide long non-coding RNA is filed under the name Androctonus crassicauda. The record is from RNAcentral. Lineage: Eukaryota; Metazoa; Arthropoda; Arachnida; Scorpiones; Buthidae.
GUCAAGUUUGGACUUUGCUAAAAAAAAUUAUAGGAGUGAAUUUGGAAUUGAAUCUGGAUUCUCCAGAUGGAAAGUUGACUAUGUUAUCACAUAUCCAUCUGGCCAAGAGAUCAUUUUUAACCAAUUGGUUAUAACUGUUAUGGAAGAUAUGCAGAAUGAAGCAUGAAUGUUGGUACUUUCUCUUGCAUAUUUUCUCUAAGUACAUUGAAUGUCUUCUAUAUCUCUCAAUCUUCUCUCUACAUAUCUUUCAGAAACUAGUUGUUAAUCAUCGUUAUCUCACUUUAUAUUAUUGUAUAUUAGUCACUAAAACUACUCAAAUGAACAAAAAUAUUAUUCACUAUGCUUUUAGCAGUCAAAUACUUUGAUUUUACAUUACAUUGUUGCUAUACCAUAACCCUGAUUGAUGAUGUAACACUCACUAUAACAAUCACUAUGAAACUGGUAUAUAUUGUAUACUUUAUUUGUCUCUUAAUCAUAUAGUCCUACCAUUGCUAACCACUUGCACUCAUGACUCAAUUAAGUGGACCUCGGACCUCAUCAUCUCAUAAAAUGUCUCUUGAUCUCCCUGUACCUGCAUUUGUCCAUUCUGACAUUUCCCUAGUCUGUCCUUUAUCAUUUGUUGACAGUCAGCAUUUCUGAUCAUCUUACAGAUGUCAUGAUUGAGUCUAAUUGCAAAUAAAAUGAAUAUUCUAGAAUUUCUAUGCAAAACUUAAGCUUAUUGAGAACUUUGAAUUGUUAUAUAAAUUUCAAAGUAAUAUAUUAGUAAAUAUUUUUGUUCUUGUCUUUGAUAUGAAUUAACCAUGCAGUUUUUAUUUUGAUUAUUCAAACUUUAAUUAGUAUAGAUAAAUGCUUUUUUCAUGCUAUUUACAUUACAAAAUAAUAACUUAUAAUAAAUAUUAACAUAAUGUUUGAAAAAUUUUAUUUCAAACAUUUAUAUUAUUCAACAUUUCCAAAAAUAUUAGAAAAAAAGAGAGAACCUUGAUUCUCAGGAACCAGGUCAUAUUUUUUACAUGAUAUUAUGUUCAGUAUUUGCAAAUUUAAAAUUCACAGUAUUUUAUAAAAAUAUAAUCUUGUAAAUAUAGAGGAUUUAUUAUAGUUGACCAAAAAUAAUUUUACUGUUUACUAUAUUUGCAUAAAUACAAAAUCUGUUUUUGUAUCUAUGUUAAAAGAAGACCAAGUUUUAUAUUUACC